Molecule: transfer-messenger RNA, 354 nt
Filed under: Neofamilia massiliensis
Lineage: Bacteria; Bacillati; Bacillota; Clostridia; Eubacteriales
Description: Standard tmRNA
Rfam family: transfer-messenger RNA
About the family: Bacterial tmRNA, also known as 10Sa RNA or SsrA, is named for its dual tRNA and mRNA-like properties. Its role is to liberate the mRNA from a stalled ribosome.
Source: RNAcentral
GGGGCCGAAUAUGGCUUCGACGGGGAUUUUGAAUCAACAUAAGCGAGUCGUUUUUUGAGACAAAACGUAAAACAGCUCAAAACAAAUAAACAACGAAAAUAAUAAUUUCGCAUUUGCAGCUUAAUUAAGCUUGCAUUCACCAUCUAGGCUCCCCAUAGGCCUAGGCACUGGUGUCAACUAUAUGGGAAACAAAUCUUUCUAAGUCGCCAUAAGAAAGAGGGUAACUAUGACGAUAUAACAAGAAGGACUUGUCUGUUAGAACUUCUUGUCGAAUAAAAAUAUAAUAGACUCCACUCGAAGAAAGUGUUGUGGACGAGUUUUCGGACGUGGGUUCGACUCCCACCGGCUCCACCA